AAGCUUUCUAAGUACUCAGACGCUAGAUAAUGAGACCAACAGGAGAACUGAACUGACACUUGUUAUACUUCUUUUAUUUCAGUCCUUCAAGGAAAAAGGCCACUUACAUCAUUAAAGGAUGUUCCUGACUAGUCUCACUCUGGACCAAAGGCCCAAGUGCAGCUAUCAGACAAAAAGCGAAACACAGGAGCACUCCACUCAGAUCUGCUCCUCACCCUGUGUCCUCUCAUCCUCGCCGUGA
Molecule: long non-coding RNA, 241 nt
Filed under: Apteryx rowi (Okarito brown kiwi)
Lineage: Eukaryota; Metazoa; Chordata; Aves; Apterygiformes; Apterygidae
Description: lncRNA (ENSARWG00000001247.1)
Source: RNAcentral